RNAcentral lists this ribosomal RNA (405 nucleotides) under uncultured bacterium. RNAcentral's name for it is "bacterial SSU rRNA". It matches the Rfam family "Bacterial small subunit ribosomal RNA", at positions 28 to 431 of the family's 1533-position model. The record is from RNAcentral.
GAUGAACGCUAGCGGCAGGCUUAAUACAUGCAAGUCGAGGGGCAGCACGGUUAGCAAUAACUGGUGGCGACCGGCGCACGGGUGCGUAACACGUAUACAAUCUACCUUAAACAGGGGGAUAGCCUUUCGAAAGAGAGAUUAAUACCCCGUAAUAAAUUGAACGGCAUCGUUUGAUUUUGAAAGCUCCGGCGGUUUGAGAUGAGUAUGCGUCUGAUUAGCUAGUUGGUGAGGUAACGGCUCACCAAGGCGACGAUCAGUAGGGGAUCUGAGAGGACUAACCCCCACACUGGUACUGAGACACGGACCAGACUCCUACGGGAGGCAGCAGUAAGGAUAUUGGUCAAUGGAGGCAACUCUGAACCAGCCAUGCCGCGUGCAGGAUGACGGCCCUAUGGGUUGUAAACU